UCUAGUUCUUCUCUCGACAUUUGACACUUCAUCAGUCACAAGUAGUGAGAGAGAUUGACUUUCCAAAUUCCAGAACAGCCCCUGCCAUUGAAGACUGAUUAUGCUACACCAUUUUCUCUCUGCCUUCAUUUCCAUGCGUGCUAUUUUUUGUGGGUUUUCUUCUAUUUCUCUCUCUCAACCCCAUUUCCAUGCAUGUUAAUUUUUGUGGGUUUUCUCAUAACUUUUUCUCUCUCAUUCUUCAAUCUCAAAUUCAGGACGCCCCUCUCUAAAAGUAUGAUUUGGGGCCAAGACAACUCUUUUCUCUCUGACUAGCCCCACAAAAGGUAUGAUUUUGAUUCUCUCUCUAGCUUCAAACGCAAAGUACUUUUUUUUUUGACAAGAGUAAUGAAUAUUAUUAGAUCA
RNAcentral lists this long non-coding RNA (402 nucleotides) under Amborella trichopoda. RNAcentral describes it as "long non-coding RNA (ATRI_LNC001019)". The record is from RNAcentral. Lineage: Eukaryota; Viridiplantae; Streptophyta; Magnoliopsida; Amborellales; Amborellaceae.